Molecule: unclassified non-coding RNA, 326 nt
Filed under: soil metagenome
Description: partial contains 5.8S ribosomal RNA, internal transcribed spacer 2, and large subunit ribosomal RNA
Rfam family: 5.8S ribosomal RNA (bases 1-120)
Source: RNAcentral
GAUGAAGAACGCAGUGAAAUGCGAUAAGUAAUGUGAAUUGCAGAAUUCAGUGAAUCAUCGAAUCUUUGAACGCACAUUGCGCCCCUUGGUAUUCCGAGGGGCAUGCCUGUUCGAGCGUCAUUAUCACCCCUCAAGCUUUGCUUGGUGUUGGGGCCUGCUGUAAUAGGCAGCCCUUAAAAUCAGUGGCGGUGCUUCAAGGCUCUAAGCGUAGUAAUUCUCCUCGCUAUAGUGUCUAGUGGUUGCCAGCCAGAACCCCCCAUUUUUUAUGAUUGACCUCGGAUCAGGUAGGGAUACCCGCUGAACUUAAGCAUAUCAUAAGCGGAGGA